CAGGGCGUAGUUCUAACCUCCAAAACUCCUCAUUUACACCGAGACAAUACUCGUGAAAGUCGAGUCGCCCUG
Molecule: transfer RNA, 72 nt
Filed under: Amblyeleotris gymnocephala (masked shrimpgoby)
Lineage: Eukaryota; Metazoa; Chordata; Actinopteri; Gobiiformes; Gobiidae
Description: tRNA-Val
Source: RNAcentral